Molecule: long non-coding RNA, 274 nt
Filed under: Mustela putorius furo (domestic ferret)
Lineage: Eukaryota; Metazoa; Chordata; Mammalia; Carnivora; Mustelidae
Description: lncRNA (ENSMPUG00000026855.1)
Source: RNAcentral
GUGACAGUGGAGAAGAUGAAGUAGAAAAAAGGAAUACAAGCAAGGUACUGUCUGAGUUACAAGAAGAUUAUACAAGAAGAGAGUCUGGGAUGGUUUCCAAGACAAAACUAUGUUUGAGCUGAAUCUUGAAUGUGACCAUCAGCAAGCCAAGUAGACAGGUUGAAGACAAUGCAGUAGUGAAAUAAAGGAUGUUUCAGAAAGAAUGGACAUAUCCCAUAUGGAAAAAGGGAACAGCCCAUAGUAUUUAGGCCUAUAUGGAAUAUGAAUAAAUUUG